This is a long non-coding RNA of Pezoporus occidentalis (night parrot), 1484 nucleotides long. RefSeq lists it as uncharacterized. NCBI's taxonomy places the organism in Eukaryota, Metazoa, Chordata, Aves, Psittaciformes, Psittacidae. The transcript has 2 exons. The record is from RefSeq and is a predicted model, not a curated record.
AGAGUACAUAGGUGGUGUCAGACCUGAGGCUCCGCAAGGCUGAGCCCAAGCCUGAGCACUGCCAUGAAUGUAGUAGGUACCCAACCUUUCCAACAGGAAGUUAGCACCUGAACAGGCUAAAUGUACAUGGAAAUUUCAGCUUGAGUUCUGGUCCGUUUAUAUGAAACCAUUUUUCAUAUGUAAGGGAAAUAGGUCAGAUGGCUUUUGAGCUGCUGGCCACGCAAACUCCCUGUCCCAGCUGUGUGAAAGGGGCCCCAGACACUGGGGAGGAUUCCUUUGGCAUAGGGCACCAUUCCCCAUAGAACUUUCAUGCUUUAGCAAAGCAAGGUCAGGAGAAGGGGAGAGGGAGGGAUUGGGCAUGACUCAAGACAACUGUUCCUGCUACAGUCGUACAGUGCAAGAUUACCACGGCAAAAAGGAUUUGUGAAAAAAUCCCCAGAUUUGUAGCUGCAGCUGGUCCUGGAAACAAGUCAUGAGCUGCAUCCACACUGUUGGGCAGCUGAGGGAUGGAGCCAGGCAGACUGCUGGGGUUUUAAACCUCCACAGUGGCACCCCGCUGGGUGACUGCUGCAAUCACAGUUGGAGCCAUGGUAGAGACUUUGGUAAGCUCUGCAUUAUCCUUGUCUUUUUAAGAACAAAAGCAACUAAACACAAAGCACCAGUUCCUUAAGUUCUAAUAAACACACAAUAGUCUCCCAUAUACCAGAUGAGUACUACAGCUAAUAAAAAUUUAAAUGUUUAUAAACAUAUAAAAACCCCAGCAAGUUACUGACCUCAGCUUUUGAAGAUCCUUUAAAUGUGCCAAAAGUAUCCACUACAUAGCUCAUGAACAAUUGAAACUGCUUCUGACUCAACCCUGCCUCGAGGUGGAAAACUGCUUGAAGCAAGGCAGGAAGGAGGCUUUUGAAAUUCAUUGCCAAUUCCCUACCAAGAAGACCUUCAGGAUAGGACAGGUACUGGGAAUCAUUUAUGAAACCAGAGGUGAGAGGACCUUGAGGCGCUGAAGACUGCAAUUUAUUACCACCUGUGGAGUUCCACAGAGAUGAAGUGGAUCCUACCCUACAGCUCUACAUGGACGAACCAAACGCAAAGCACCAGGGAAAGUGUUCAGAGAAAGCAAUUUCGGGGACGGGGAAUUUUAUAUCCAUCACACUCCAGAGGAUAAAAAAAAAAAAAAAGAGACAUAAAACUCCUGCAAGUUUAUUACUAGAGGUUUUAUCGGCUGCCCUCUAGUGAGACCAUUAAGUGACACACUCCUUAACCCUGGCAUAGCAGCUCCCUGCGCAGGAGUCAGGAUGCUGUGUUUAACCUCUUCAGUUUGGUCUAUAGUAUUUAAAUCCUUGCUCCUGAGCGGCAGUGAUUCAGCACUGGAAACAUGUGGGGGUAGGAAAGAAAAGCUGUGAGGGAGAAUUAUCCUGGGAAUUUAUCAUCAUCGUCAUGAUGGCAACUAAAGGGUGAAUGUCUCAUUAAAAAAAGGGGCAACA